AAAAUAUAAAAAGUGGUGCACACUUCUAUGAAUGGGGGACAUAGAACAAAGACUCCACACAAAAGAACUAAUCAAUGUUUUUGACCUAAUAAAGUUUUAAGUAAUUGAGUUUUAGAAUAAUUAAUUUGUCUAAUCAGGUUAGGUCAGGUGCAUGGAAUUGACCAGUGUCCGCUAGGCUUCGUUUGGUUCGGGAAUUAGUAGGAACUAGUUAUAUCAGGGAUAGGUAUAAGUAUGAGUUUUUAUAAGAACAAAAAUAUUUUUUUGUUUAGAUAAAAAUAUGAGUAUAAGCUAGAACUAGAAAAAUUGCGUUUGGAUUGUUAUUUGGAAUCAGAGAAAUAGUUGAUGGUUAUAAAUAAAAAAUAAUGAUAUUACCCUAUAAUUGAAUUUAAAUGUUUAAAUUUUAAACUUAUAAUUUUAAAUUGAAAAUUUUAACUUUUAAAAUUUUAAAUUUUAAAUUAAAAUUUUAAAUUUUAAUUUUCAAAAUGUUAAUUUUAAAUAUCAAAUUUUAAAUUUAAGACCAAAUUUAAAUUUGAAAGUUAUAAAAUAUCAAAUUUAAAAUUAAAAAACUAAAAAUAUCAAAUUAAAAAUUUUAAAUUUAAAAAUAUCAAAUUUAAAAUUUAAACUUUAAAAUUUAAUUAUAAAUUAUAAAUUUAAAUUUUGAGAUUAUAAAUUUUAAAA
Molecule: long non-coding RNA, 678 nt
Filed under: Ananas comosus (pineapple)
Lineage: Eukaryota; Viridiplantae; Streptophyta; Magnoliopsida; Poales; Bromeliaceae
Description: long non-coding RNA (ACOM_LNC006071)
Source: RNAcentral